RNAcentral lists this transfer RNA (69 nucleotides) under Melanocharis longicauda. Its description in RNAcentral is "tRNA-Val". Lineage: Eukaryota; Metazoa; Chordata; Aves; Passeriformes; Melanocharitidae. The record is from RNAcentral.
CAAGACGUAGCUUUAACAAAAGCAUUCAGCUUACACCUGAAAGAUGUCUGCUAAACCGGAUCGUCUUGA